This 465-nucleotide ribosomal RNA is filed under the name uncultured bacterium. RNAcentral's name for it is "partial 16S ribosomal RNA". It matches the Rfam family "Bacterial small subunit ribosomal RNA", at positions 338 to 795 of the family's 1533-position model. The record is from RNAcentral.
CCUACGGGUGGCAGCAGUGGGGAAUAUUGCGCAAUGGGCGAAAGCCUGACGCAGCGACGCCGCGUGAGGGAUGAAGGUCUUCAGAUUGUAAACCUCUGUCAGCAGGGAAGAACGGUCACUGUGCUAAUCAGCAGUGAAUUGCCGGUACCUGCAAAGGAAGCACCGGCUAACUCCGUGCCAGCAGCCGCGUUAAUACGGAGGGUGCGAGCGUUAAUCGGAAUUACUGGGCGUAAAGCGCUCGUAGGCGGUAUGUCAAGUCAAGGGUGAAAUCCCCGCGCUCAACGUGGGAACUGCCUUUGAAACUGGCAAACUGGAGUGUGUGAGAGGAUAGUGGAAUUCCAGGUGUAGGAGUGAAAUGCGUAGAUAUCUGGAGGAACAUCAGUGGCGAAGGCGACUAUCUGGCACAUAACUGACGCUGAGGAGCGAAAGCGUGGGUAGCAAACAGGAUUAGAUACCCCAGUAGUC